UAUUCUGCCCCAUGGGGAAGGAUGAGAAGCUUCGAAUAAGGUUCGACUCGAGCGAAGCGAGAGAACGUUGCCGCAGGCAACGGCCCGAAGGGCGAGGCGCUUUAGCGCCGAGUAAUCC
This 118-nucleotide small RNA is filed under the name Klebsiella pneumoniae. RNAcentral describes it as "partial RtT sRNA". It matches the Rfam family "RtT RNA", at positions 1 to 116 of the family's 130-position model. Rfam says of the family: This family represents a bacterial cis-regulatory element known as RtT RNA. The exact function of RtT is unknown although it is thought that it may be involved in changing the cellular response in relation to amino acid starvation. Lineage: Bacteria; Pseudomonadati; Pseudomonadota; Gammaproteobacteria; Enterobacterales; Enterobacteriaceae. The record is from RNAcentral.